This 605-nucleotide ribosomal RNA is filed under the name Vibrio parahaemolyticus. RNAcentral's name for it is "partial 23S ribosomal RNA". It matches the Rfam family "Bacterial large subunit ribosomal RNA", at positions 589 to 1197 of the family's 2925-position model. Lineage: Bacteria; Pseudomonadati; Pseudomonadota; Gammaproteobacteria; Vibrionales; Vibrionaceae. The record is from RNAcentral.
UCCUGUGACUGCGUACCUUUUGUAUAAUGGGUCAGCGACUUAUAUUCAGUGGCAAGGUUAACCAUCUAGGGGAGCCGUAGGGAAACCGAGUCUUAACUGGGCGUUCAGUCUCUGGAUAUAGACCCGAAACCAGGUGAUCUAGCCAUGGGCAGGUUGAAGGUUGAGUAACAUCAACUGGAGGACCGAACCGACUAAUGUUGAAAAAUUAGCGGAUGACUUGUGGCUAGGGGUGAAAGGCCAAUCAAACCUGGAGAUAGCUGGUUCUCCCCGAAAGCUAUUUAGGUAGCGCCUCGGACGAAUACUACUGGGGGUAGAGCACUGUUAAGGCUAGGGGGUCAUCCCGACUUACCAACCCUUUGCAAACUCCGAAUACCAGUAAGUACUAUCCGGGAGACACACGGCGGGUGCUAACGUCCGUCGUGGAGAGGGAAACAACCCAGACCGCCAGCUAAGGUCCCAAAUUACUACUAAGUGGGAAACGAUGUGGGAAGGCUCAGACAGCCAGGAUGUUGGCUUAGAAGCAGCCAUCAUUUAAAGAAAGCGUAAUAGCUCACUGGUCGAGUCGGCCUGCGCGGAAGAUGUAACGGGGCUAAGUAGUAAACCGA